This 385-nucleotide ribosomal RNA is filed under the name Suteria ide. Its description in RNAcentral is "partial large subunit ribosomal RNA". It matches the Rfam family "Bacterial large subunit ribosomal RNA", at positions 1814 to 2604 of the family's 2925-position model. The record is from RNAcentral. Lineage: Eukaryota; Metazoa; Mollusca; Gastropoda; Stylommatophora; Charopidae.
CAUAGCCUAGUGUAUAUACUAGGUGAUUUCUGCCCGGUGAUUUUAACGGCCGCAGUACCUUGACUGUGCUAAGGUAGCGUAAUAAUUUGGCUUUUAAUUGAGGUCUUGAAUGAAAGGGAAACGUGGAGAUUGUCUCUUUAAAAAUUUAUAAAUUUAUUUAUUAGGUGAAAAUACCUAUAUUUGAUACUAGACGAGAAGACCCUUAGAAUUUAAAUUAUUUUUGUUGGGGCGACAAAGUUACAUUUAACUUACUUAUUUAAGUUACUAGUCGAGGGUGAUAAAAUUACCUGAGGGAUAACAGCAUAAUUUUAAGUUUGUGACCUCGAUGUUGGAUUAGGGAAUAAAGGUUAGUAAUUUUUAUUGUUCUGUUCGAACCCUACGUGAU